Molecule: long non-coding RNA, 1231 nt
Filed under: Cricetulus griseus (Chinese hamster)
Lineage: Eukaryota; Metazoa; Chordata; Mammalia; Rodentia; Cricetidae
Description: lncRNA (ENSCGRG00015034997.1)
Source: RNAcentral
UCCCCUCCCUCUUCUCCUCCCAGUACCUCUCCACCUCCCUCCUAUCUGGAUCCACCCUUUUCUGUUUCUCAUUAGAAAACAGACAGGCUUCCAAGGGGUUAAAAUAAAAUAUAAUAAGAGAAAACAAAAUCAGAAUGGGACAAAACAUACAAACAGAAAGAAAAGAGCUCCAAUAAAAAGGAGCUCAAAAAGGAGCACAAGAAACAGAUAUUGACACAGAGAACCCAUUCACUCACUCAGGAAUCCCAUAAAAACGCUAAACCGGAAGUCAUAAAAUAUAUGCAAAGGAUCUGUGUGGUUUAAUGGAUGUCUACUGUGUACCUGAUACUGCAGUAAGUGCUAGCCAUUUGUUAUCACAUCCAAUUCCCAAGUGGGCAUGCCAUCGCCCAUGCUCAUUUUACAAAUGAGAAAACUCAGGUCCAGGAAAGGGAAUGGUGCGUCUAAGUCACAGAGCUGAUGAUCAGCAGAGCCAGGAGUCACAAUCAGGUCUCAGACAAACCACUGGGCAAAGAUACUGAUUCCCUGGUCUCUCUAUAAAUGCAUGUACUACCUGGUGUCCCUUCAUAGUACAGGAGCCUCCUGCCUUCAUGAGCAACAGAAUAGCAGGUGCUGUCAUUAGGCAAACCUGGUAUGGAUGCUGAGGCAAUCCUAUGGGUCCAGCAUGUCAUUACCCAUCCUUUCUUCCUUACACACAUGUGAAGUCUUAGGAUUAAGUACCAUCUUUUGGAACGUGGAAACUAUAUUAAACACGUGGUGAUCAGUGUGGACAUUGCACCUGUUUCUAAAGAAAAGACCAUCCUCAACUUCCACCCUCUUCCCGGCAAACCUGCCUCCGAGCAAAUGAACCGAAGGUAUAAACCCAUGCAAUCAGCCCCAACUGCAAAGUGCUGAGUGAUUUUGAUGUCUCAAGCUACAGUAGAAUUUUCCAAACAAUAUGCGUCUAAACAGAAGCCAUCGGUUUCACCCACUGACCAACUGAAAACACCUAUAGCUCAGGAGCCUCCAGAAUGUGGACUCCUGAGAAGGACACUUUGUCUAUGCUCAACAGGGGACCUUCCCAAGAGAGUCACACCAGCAGUUUUCACUCAUCCAUUUUUCUCAUGGAUGCUGAUUGUAGGAUCUAGCCAACCUUCAUCAGCCAGGGUUUUCUGCUGGGGAACCCCAGAAGUGUAAGAUCCCAUAAAGCAAAGUGCAACAGGAGAAGAAUUCAAGGCAAUUUUACUCAACCUGG